UCUAAAAUGGCAGAAUUAAGUGCCUUGAACUUAAGAUUCAAAAAUAAAGAAAACUUUUUUUAGAA
Molecule: transfer RNA, 65 nt
Filed under: Dromaeolus sp. ZM-2022
Lineage: Eukaryota; Metazoa; Arthropoda; Insecta; Coleoptera; Eucnemidae
Description: tRNA-Leu
Source: RNAcentral